Molecule: long non-coding RNA, 1411 nt
Organism: Meriones unguiculatus (Mongolian gerbil)
Lineage: Eukaryota; Metazoa; Chordata; Mammalia; Rodentia; Muridae
Exons: 3
Source: RefSeq, a predicted model, not a curated record
GCUGGAGGCUGGGCUGAGCAGUGCGCGCGUGGUCCUGACCGGCAGACUCAGCACAGCGGGGGAAGCACGCACUGCACAAACGAACACGCUGAUGGCCGUUUAGCGCCCGCUCUACGAGAAUUAGCGGUAAUGAGAUGAUGAUGAUGAUGAUGAUAAAACCCUGAGUGGUGAGGAAAGAAGUGGACACCUGCCCAGCCAGCCAGAUGAGAUGGGUGCACCAUCUCAGCCAGAUGAGAGCACCCCUAGUGCUCAGUGGGGUGGCAGAUGUCACAGACAGAUCAUCCCCACAUCAUUCAGGGAUUAUGAGAUGUCCAAGAGUCACUGUUCUUCAUGACUCAUGGAAGUCUCUAGAACACUGCUGGUGCCUUCCUUCCUGUAAGAAACUGGCCAAGCCUAUGGGCUGUCCAGCUAGUAGUUGCUGGCGUCCUGGGAACGUUGAGGCACCUGGCCUCAGAGCUAGUCACUGGCCCACGACUGCCGGAGGAAAAUGCCGCAGGGACAUCCAGGAAGCUAGAGCAACUGCAGCCCUGCCAGCCACUGCUUCCUGCCAGCGAGGCUCACCAGCAGAUGGACGACACAUGUGAGCUUCGAUGGCUGUCCCCUCCUCUGCCCACCUGCUUCUGAGGACCUCCUGCACCUUACCUCAGCCGGCACAACUCUCUUACUUCUACUGUGGCCUGAGGGCCUGUGUUUUGACCCAUGCCAAGACAAGUGGUCGCAAUCUGUAGGUUAAAGUCCAGAGCUCCCGGCCACCCCAGUGCAGCUUUCUUCAGUGAGGUUUUCAACCACGUGGCUAGUGAGAUAGAUUGGGCCUAUACAAGAGCCACCGAGCCCUUUGUAGUGGGUUUCUGGAAGCCAGGGUUCCCGGCCCAGAGUUACUUUGAACAUGCUAUGUGGUUGAGGACAACAUUAGAUUUCAUGCGUGAAGCACUCUGCGGUACCAGGUGAGGAUGGAACUUAGGGCGUGUUACACAAAUACUCUACCAAAUGAGCUAUAUCGCAGGACCCUGAGCUGCAGCUGUUAAGCACUAGCCUAGGUUGCUUGGGCACCUGUGAUGUCAUCAUUGGUCGCCACUCACAGGGGCGUGGGAUAAAAGGACCCCUGCCUCUUACCUCUCUCUCCUGGUCUCCUCUCUUGCUCUCUCUGCUUUUCUUUCUGUCCCUCUGUCUCUCUCUACCUCUGCCCUCAUGGCUCACUCAGGCCCUAACUCUCUUCUGCUUCUCUUCUCCCAAAUAAAUAUCUUUCAUAUCAAGUCUGUCAUAUGCGUGACGCGUUUUUAAAUAUAUGACAACAGCGUUAUUUAAUGUUUGCUUGUGUCUUUUGAGAAAGGGUCUUGCUCUGUAAACUGAGUUGCUCUGAAGGUCUAUCCUCCUGGCUCUGUCUUCUGUCAGCUGGGUCAAGGGUCCACAC